GUAAGCAUCUGGUCUUUGAUGUACUUUAAAAUGCACCCCACCCCCACAUGAAAGAUAACUAAAUUUUUCAAAAUAUUAAUACUUCUUGAAUGUAAAUCGUGUGUCUAAGGUACUGGCAUAAUUUUUUUUUUCAAAUUUUCUAUAUGUUUGAAAUGUUUCAUAAUAAAAUCCUUUUAAAUUUUUUUCCAUGUGUAAUUUUAGGAUGAUAUAUAUAUAGCACAUGGAAAAAAGCAGGGCAUAGAAGUAUUUCCACUUUAAUUUCAGUUUCAUAAAAUCAGAGAGAAAAAGUCAUAGAUAUAUACACCAUACAUAAAAAAUAAAAGCGUAAAUAAAUACAGAAAGAAAUCUAAAGAGAAAUCACCAUAGCAGUAAAAGUAAAUUCUGUGUGAAGUGGUUAUAAGAGACACUAAGAGUUGCCCCUCCUUGAAAUUAUAUUUAGUUAUGGUCCUUAAGUCACUAUUAUUUGUAACCAAAAAAAAAAAUUGAAUAAAAAUAGUUCUCCCUCUUUAGUCCAUCCAAUCCUAAAGAAUUUUUAUCAGUGCCCUUUCUUUUUCUUCAGAGUCACUCUGUCACCCAGGCUGGAGUGCAGUGGCACCAUCACAGCUCCCUGCAGCCUUGACUUACAGGGCUCCAGUGAUCCUCCACCCUCAGCCUCCUGAGUAUCUGAGACCACAGGUGCAAGCCACCAUGCCCAGAGUGGACCAGUGUGAUGUUUUGUGGAAUGUCAGAACAAUCAAGAUCACUUCAGACUAUUAUGGCAGUGAGCAAGAGAACUAAUGGAGCCCGUGGCAACACUGGGAAGACAUAUUGUUGGCCCUGUUGGGUAACAGCAAAUCACUUCUGAUGGACCUUGCAAAUUGGUAUGGAGGAAAAGGCAUUAGCCAGUUGUAGCAAGGAAACCAAAAGGUAUAAACAUUCACUGAUUGAAAAACAAUGUCAUAAAGUCAUCCCAGUAUCUGUGAGGAGUUGGUUCCAGGACCCCUGAGGACACCAAAAUCCUCAGAUGCUCAAGUCCCUGAUAAAAAAAUAAAAGCAGUGGUGCCCUCGGGUUCAAAAACCUGAACGGUGGUCUUCAGUUGUUCCCCCAAGCUCCUCUAUCAGAGGCCCAGACACUCCAAGAGGCUGGGAAGAG
Molecule: long non-coding RNA, 1132 nt
Filed under: Homo sapiens (human)
Lineage: Eukaryota; Metazoa; Chordata; Mammalia; Primates; Hominidae
Description: HSALNT0162657
Source: RNAcentral